GGAGGGGGCAAGCGUUGUUCGGAUUUACUGGGCGUAAAGCGCACGUAGGCGGCAAGGUAAGUCAAAGGUGAAAGCCCUCGGCUCAACCGAGGAAUUGCCUUUGAAACUGCUUUGCUUGAGUCCGGGAGGGGGGAGCGGAAUACCCAAUGGAGCGGUGAAAUGCGUAGAUAUUGGGUAGAACACCGGUGGCGAAGGCGGCUCCCUGGACCGGUACUGACGCUGAGGUGCGAAAGCGUGGGUAGCAAACAGGAUUAGAUACCCUGGGUAGUCCACGCCGUAAACGAUGGGCACUAGUUGCAGCGGGUGUCGACCCCCCUGCUGUGACGAAGUUAACGCAUUAAGUGCCCCGCCUGGGGAGUACGGUCGCAAGGCUG
This 374-nucleotide ribosomal RNA is filed under the name uncultured organism. Its description in RNAcentral is "partial 16S ribosomal RNA". It matches the Rfam family "Bacterial small subunit ribosomal RNA", at positions 527 to 896 of the family's 1533-position model. The record is from RNAcentral.